RNAcentral lists this long non-coding RNA (269 nucleotides) under Arachis ipaensis. RNAcentral's name for it is "long non-coding RNA (AIPA_LNC002617)". The record is from RNAcentral. Lineage: Eukaryota; Viridiplantae; Streptophyta; Magnoliopsida; Fabales; Fabaceae.
AUCACUAUGCGUAUCUUGGUGGUCGUUACUUUUGGUGUUCUUUCUUUUUGGCUGACUCCUCUUCCUGUUCUAUUGAUCAGAAGCAUCCAGCAGCGCCGCGCCAGUAGAAAGAGUUAAGCUACUAAGCUAGGCUGCUGUUGGGGAACUCGGUAGAAGCGAUUUUCCGCUUCCGCCUCUCUAGGCUUCACAAUGGCUCCCCCCUAUAUAGAUAGAAUUCAAAAUGAGUCUUCUCCCCUCCACUAUAAUUAAUAUAAUACGAAAGGCAUUUU